Non-coding RNA from Danio rerio (zebrafish), 74 nucleotides. NCBI's taxonomy places the organism in Eukaryota, Metazoa, Chordata, Actinopteri, Cypriniformes, Danionidae. The record is from Rfam.
GUCUCUGUGACACAAUCGGUUAGCGCGUUCGGCUGUUAACUGAAAGGUUGGUGGUUCAAGCCCACCCAGGGACG